CGGUGGAGAAUCUGUUUUAUUCGGUGGUAGUUUGCUUUGAUGAUUUCGUGACCGCGCCUUUUAUCUCUCAGACUAUAGGAGAAUGAGAUGUCGAUAAGCAUUCUCAUUACCGCUUGCACCAUUUUUCAGUAUUCCGACUGCAUGCAUGAGGUUUGAAUUUUUAGUUUUCCUGGAUCUGCCAAGUUUUUUUUUUUUGUGUUGCGAAUUGAAAUAGUAUGUCUUUUUUUUGUGUUGCGAAUUGAAAUAGUAUGUCUCUUGCUUUCUGCUUUGGUUCGUGGCUUUGUGAUGGCUGUUGUGGCUGCUUGUUGAAAAUUGAUUGUGGUGUGUCAGCCACCGGAGGAUCUGGGACAGUUGGCAGGUGGUGGAAGAGUAUAUAUGGG
RNAcentral lists this long non-coding RNA (380 nucleotides) under Manihot esculenta (cassava). RNAcentral's name for it is "long non-coding RNA (MESC_LNC005652)". Lineage: Eukaryota; Viridiplantae; Streptophyta; Magnoliopsida; Malpighiales; Euphorbiaceae. The record is from RNAcentral.